Molecule: non-coding RNA, 267 nt
Organism: Cinara cedri
Lineage: Eukaryota; Metazoa; Arthropoda; Insecta; Hemiptera; Aphididae
Source: the annotation of a GenBank genome assembly
AGCAAGAAUUGAUUCGGUAGUAUGGAAAGUGCAUAGAGGAGAGUCGUUGAUUGAUUGCUUGUAGGAAUUAAACGAGACCAGAAUAUGUCCUAUUCUUAAGCGUAAGAAAUAUGAAAUUGUUUCCUACUAAUUUUUAUAUAACAGAAUCAAUAACGCUUGGAGAGUAAUAUUCUCACACCGCGUAGCAAAAUUAAGAGGUAGAUUAGUCCAUUCGUUAAACCGCAUCGUGUCAAUAUGGGUUCUAAGUAUACAAGGUGAUUCAUUUAA